Molecule: long non-coding RNA, 1784 nt
Organism: Anneissia japonica
Lineage: Eukaryota; Metazoa; Echinodermata; Crinoidea; Comatulida; Comatulidae
Exons: 3
Source: RefSeq, a predicted model, not a curated record
AUUAGCCUUCCAUGGGAAUAGUAUAGGCUGCCGUUCCGAAUGGCUAGGCCCGAAAUGGCGUUGGCGUCCCGAGCUCGGGGGCGUGGUCUGUUGGCCAUGAACUUUCUCCGCGGGUGCAUACCGCCAUUCUAGGCUAGCUAUUUAAAAUCAAACUUAGCCUCUGCAAAAGCCAUUUAUCGCCGGGUCAUUGACGCUACUUGAGUACGAAGAAUGCGCUCUCAUUGCUCGAAAGGACUCCAGCAACGUAAGUCAUCACAUCGCGCGCUCGCUCUCAGCUAGCUUAGGCCUACUUCCAAAUGGGAAUGUUACGUGCUCCCGUAAGUACCGAAGGUAAUUUUUCCUGGAAUCGUUUUCUAACUCUGCGAUGGAUCUGGUAAGUGUGCGUGCUUUAAACGUUGUUGAACUUCAACUCUAAGCCUUGAUUAUACUUCCUGACAGAGGGGCCAAACGCACAGUUCCGGAAUCGGAAAGGUUAGUUCGUUGUUGUUGGAUAAACCACCGAAGGAGGGCAUCGGGAAAAUUGCAACCAAUUUCAACUUUAAAAAGUCCAAAUGUGAUAUUAUGCAUUUUCCAACUUUAGACAACAAUGUAUCCAGCCUUAUCACACAAGGAAUCAAACAAUUUUCCUGUAUAAGGAGGACAAGAAUAUAAACAGUUAUUACGGCAUGCGGUCAUUCUACUAUGGCUAUUACAUCAUCGGAAGGUCACUAAGCGGAUACGGAUUGUGGUCAUCGCACCCUUUCUAGUCCUCGUGUUUCGGUUGGAUGGCAUUUGAUAGCCUGCACGUUACUCACGUGUUGUCAUACUUGCCAUCGCGUGAAUGUUUCAGAUCAAGAUGAGAAGCAUCAGACGGAGAAACGAUGCGGAGGCGCGAUAAAGGAAGCUUCAUAUCGUCUGCUUAUUUCGUUCGUUUGAGGACAUUUUUCGCGCGUAGACUAUGGAUUUGGAUGAUACGAGUAUGGAAAGACAUUUAUCAAGAACAUGUUAAAUUUUUGAAUCAAAGGAACUCAUUACCAUGCAGAUAAGUUUGAAUUAAAAAGAUAUUCGACGUAACAACAAUGCGAAGGUGUGCAAAACCUGAGGCUAAGGGGCUUGCUCAGUAAAGGCAUGGAGGUAUAUUGCAUGGUUAAGGCAACUUUCAGGCCCUCGACGCCACGUGGUAAAGAAUGGGUGCGGCGAUUUAUCAACAAUACCGAUGUCGUAAAGGAAAAAUACUACUUAUUAUAUCUAUAUUAUAUCUUUUAACGCUCAUCACACAUGGUCAAGGUGAACGUUUACUGGUACGGUCAUUGUUUUCACUUGGUAAGUAGGCAUAUUGACCGAACAAUAUCAAUUAAUUACCGUUCAAUCUAUUUCGGGCGAAUCCGAGAGUUGAAUGUCAGGGCUGUACAGUGGGCGAGAAUUUAGAUAUUAUUAUUAUUGAAAUUUUAUUUAUAUAUCGAAACCGAUAAAGUAUGAAGAGGGGUCGACGGUAUAUAUCAACAGACUCAUUGUCCAGGAGAUAACGGAAGGCAUGUUUAUUUCCCAUUGGUGAUAUCAUAUGUAUACAAAAGCUCAUGCGUCAAUAUAUUAUACGGUUCGGUAUUACAUGUCUAUCUAGAUAUUACGUACAUUUUACUCUGGUGGCUAUGGAAGGACCGAUAUUUUUGGUUGAUGGGCAUGCGUUGCCGUGGUUGUGCAGAAACAAAUAUAUGACAUUAUAAACGAGUGAAAAUAUUUUCAAACGAGUUUGGUUGUUAGCUAUUUUCAAACGAAUUUGGUUGUUAGCUAUGAUGCUGCGUUUC